This 253-nucleotide ribosomal RNA is filed under the name uncultured bacterium. RNAcentral describes it as "partial 16S ribosomal RNA". It matches the Rfam family "Bacterial small subunit ribosomal RNA", at positions 524 to 776 of the family's 1533-position model. The record is from RNAcentral.
UACGUAGGGAGCAAGCGUUAUCCGGAUUUACUGGGUGUAAAGGGAGCGCAGACGGCGAUGCAAGCCAGGAGUGAAAGCCCGGGGCCCAACCCCGGGACUGCUCUUGGAACUGCGUGGCUGGAGUGCAGGAGGGGCAGGCGGAAUUCCUGGUGUAGCGGUGAAAUGCGUAGAUAUCAGGAGGAACACCGGUGGCGAAGGCGGCCUGCUGGACUGCAACUGACGUUGAGGCCCGAAAGCGUGGGGAGCAAACAGG